RNAcentral lists this small nuclear RNA (304 nucleotides) under Microcebus murinus (gray mouse lemur). RNAcentral describes it as "7SK RNA (ENSMICG00000043240.1)". It matches the Rfam family "7SK RNA". Rfam says of the family: 7SK was discovered as an abundant small nuclear RNA in the mid-70s but a possible function has only recently been suggested. Two independent studies have found that 7SK RNA binds the CDK9/cyclin T complex (known as elongation factor P-TEFb). Lineage: Eukaryota; Metazoa; Chordata; Mammalia; Primates; Cheirogaleidae. The record is from Rfam by way of RNAcentral.
GGAUGUGAGAGCGAUCUGGCUGCGACAUCUGCCACCCCAUUGAUCGCCAGGGUUGAUUUGGCUGAUCUGGCUGGCUAGGCCCCUUCCUCCCCUUCCUCCCUCACCGCUCCAUGUGCAUCCCUCCGGAAGCUGCAUGCUCGAUUGAAGAGGACGACCUUCCCCGUUAGAGAGGGACGGGGGUCUUUGGUCAAAGGUAUAUGAUUAGCGGCGCUCCCCUGCUAGAACCUCCAAACAAGCUCUCAAAGUGAUACGAUAGGGCUCCUUAUUUCUAGAUAGAUUCUGAGUGUUCAGUUUACUUUAAUCU